CAACCGAAAGCGGAAGCAGCUUGCUGCGGAAGAUUUCAUCCGGGGUGACUGAGUGGCGGACGGGUGAGUAACGCGUGGGUAACCUGCCCCAUAGAGGGGGACAACAGUUGGAAACGACUGCUAAUACCGCAUAGUAAGGAACUGCCGCAUGACGGUUUCUUGAAAGAUUUAUCGCUAUGGGAUGGACCCGCGUCUGAUUAGCUAGUUGGUAAGGUAACGGCUUACCAAGGCGACGAUCAGUAGCCGGCUUGAGAGAGUGAACGGCCACAUUGGGACUGAGACACGGCCCAAACUCCUACGGGAGGCAGCAGUGGGGAAUAUUGCACAAUGGGGGAAACCCUGAUGCAGCGACGCCGCGUGAGUGAAGAAGUAUUUCGGUAUGUAAAGCUCUAUCAGCAGGGAAGAUAAUGACGGUACCUGACUAAGAAGCCCCGGCUAACUACGUGCCAGCAGCCGCGGUAAUACGUAGGGGGCAAGCGUUAUCCGGAUUUACUGGGUGUAAAGGGUGCGUAGGUGGCAGGGCAAGUCAGAUGUGAAAGCCCGGGGCUCAACCCCGGUAUUGCAUUUGAAACUGUCCGGCUGGAGUGCAGGAGAGGUAAGCGGAAUUCCUAGUGUAGCGGUGAAAUGCGUAGAUAUUAGGAGGAACACCAGUGGCGAAGGCGGCUUACUGGACUGUAACUGACACUGAGGCACGAAAGCGUGGGGAGCAAACAGGAUUAGAUACCCUGGUAGUCCACGCCGUAAACG
This 747-nucleotide ribosomal RNA is filed under the name uncultured bacterium. RNAcentral describes it as "bacterial SSU rRNA". It matches the Rfam family "Bacterial small subunit ribosomal RNA", at positions 63 to 808 of the family's 1533-position model. The record is from RNAcentral.